RNAcentral lists this long non-coding RNA (396 nucleotides) under Salmo trutta (river trout). RNAcentral describes it as "lncRNA (ENSSTUG00000023875.1)". Lineage: Eukaryota; Metazoa; Chordata; Actinopteri; Salmoniformes; Salmonidae. The record is from RNAcentral.
CCUGUCUAGUCAUAUGGUCUAUCGCAUUAGAUGUUAUUUUUUUCUUCUUCUUGAAGGUGGAUUUCACGACUGCCCCGAGUGCUGCCCAGGGAUCAUUCUCUGAGAAAUAUGGAUUGUGGACCAGACCAUGUCCUCUCUCAGGUCAAGGAAAAGGAGACCAGGCCUCUCCUUCAUCCCUCCAACCUGGUUACUGGCUGAUGACAGAAUGGCCUGAGUGACAGAGGAGGGCUGUGGGGGUCUUUACCAGGAUUCAAGGGAAGGGAAUACAAUAACCAGGCAAGUCCGUCUCAGCCCUCACACAGCCACCACUCUGUUGUCUUGCACUUGAGGGGGAUUUAUGUCCCCACACACAUGCGCACGCACACGUUCACACACACAUCCAUGCGCACGCACGCG